Molecule: ribosomal RNA, 121 nt
Filed under: uncultured bacterium
Lineage: Bacteria
Description: partial 16S ribosomal RNA
Rfam family: Bacterial small subunit ribosomal RNA
Source: RNAcentral
UACACACCGCCCGUCACACCAUGGAAGUCUGCAAUGCCCGAAGCCGGUGGCCUAACCACUUAUGUGGAAGGAGCCGUCUAAGGCAGGGCAGAUGACUGGGGUGAAGUCGUAACAAGGUAAC